CGUAGCCGCGGUAAUACAGAGGGUGCGAGCAUUAAUCGGAUUUACUGGGCGUAAAGCGUGCGUAGGCGGCUUCUUAAGUCGGAUGUGAAAUCCCUGAGCUUAACUUAGGAAUUGCAUUCGAUACUGGGAAGCUAGAGUAUGGGAGAGGAUGGUAGAAUUCCAGGUGUAGCGGUGAAAUGCGUAGAGAUCUGGAGGAAUACCGAUGGCGAAGGCAGCCAUCUGGCCUAAUACUGACGCUGAGGUACGAAAGCAUGGGGAGCAAACAGGAUUAGAUACCCCCGUAGUCCCUGUCUCUUAUACA
This 301-nucleotide ribosomal RNA is filed under the name uncultured bacterium. RNAcentral's name for it is "partial 16S ribosomal RNA". It matches the Rfam family "Bacterial small subunit ribosomal RNA", at positions 510 to 808 of the family's 1533-position model. The record is from RNAcentral.